AUGACGAUCUACCUAGCUCGGGAGGCUUCCAAGGUAUGGAGGAAGGUGUGCGCGGAGACGACGACCGAGCUGCCGAUGCUUCGCGAGAAGUGGCCGCUACUCCUCGCUGGGAUUGUGUUCCAGUAUAUUCAUGGGCUGGCUGCUCGAGGAGUGCAUUACUUGCAUCGGCCUGGACCACUGCUCCAGGACCUGGGAUUUAUGGCCCUUCCAGAGCUUGGACAAGACAAAAAUUAUCUUAGUGAAUGCACAUUUGUUUUCAUCUUCUUCUCCUUUUUUCUGUGGACCUUUCAUCCUUUUAUUUAUCAUAGCAAACGCUUCUACACCAUCCUAAUCUGGCGCAGGGUGCUUGCUUUUUUAGUUGCUUCACAGGUUUUAAGGAUCGUUACAUUUUAUUCAACCCAGCUCCCAGGUCCAAACUAUCACUGUCGCGAGGGCUCAAGUAUGGCCACUCUUCCACCACCCAAUAAUGUGCUUGAAGUGCUCCUAAUUAAUUUUCCUCGAGGAGUAAAUCUUGGGUGUGGUGAUCUUAUAUUUUCAUCCCAUAUGAUUUUCACUCUUGUUUUCGUUCGAACAUAUCACAAAUAUGGCUCAAAAAGGUUUAUUAAGCUCCUUGCCUGGAUGAUGGCUAUAAUUCAAAGUCUCCUUAUUAUUGCCGCUCGCAAGCACUACACUGUGGAUGUUGUUGUUGCCUGGUAUGCCGUUAAUCUAGUCGUCUUCUUCGUGGACACCAAGCUCCCAGAAAUGCCGGACCGUACAAAUGGGUCACCCUUGAUUCCGCUGAGCAACAAAGAUAAAGAUGGAAGGCCAAAGGAUGAGAAAGACGUGAGGCUGAAGGACGAGUUCCAUAAGCUGUUGAACGGGAACCAUGGGGAUGCGACUGAUCGGCGGCAGCGGGUGCAGAUGAACGGGAGGCACGCCGAGGAGGACAUGAGCAUGCUCUCCGACGCCACGCCCAACGGCACAUGA
Molecule: ribosomal RNA, 966 nt
Filed under: Triticum aestivum (bread wheat)
Lineage: Eukaryota; Viridiplantae; Streptophyta; Magnoliopsida; Poales; Poaceae
Description: partial small subunit ribosomal RNA
Source: RNAcentral